AGCUCCGAGGUAUGAUGACGUCAGAUUGCAAAUCUGAAGAAGCAGGCUAAUUACCUGCCGGGGCUU
This 66-nucleotide transfer RNA is filed under the name Liachirus melanospilos (carpet sole). RNAcentral's name for it is "tRNA-Cys". It matches the Rfam family "tRNA". Rfam says of the family: Transfer RNA (tRNA) molecules are approximately 80 nucleotides in length. Their secondary structure includes four short double-helical elements and three loops (D, anti-codon, and T loops). The record is from RNAcentral. Lineage: Eukaryota; Metazoa; Chordata; Actinopteri; Pleuronectiformes; Soleidae.